GAUGAACGCUGGCGGCGUGCCUAAUACAUGCAAGUCUAGCGAACAGACGAGGAGCUUGCUCCUCUGACGUUAGCGGCGGACGGGUGAGUAACACGUGGAUAACCUACCUAUAAGACUGGGAUAACUUCGGGAAACCGGAGCUAAUACCGGAUAAUAUAUUCAACCGCAUGGUUCGAUAGUGAAAGACGGUUUUGCUGUUGAUUAUAGAUGGAUUCGGGUAGCAGUAGCUAGUUGGUAAGGUAACGGCUUACCAAGGCGACGAUACGUAGCCGGCCUGAGAGGGUGGACGGCCACAAGGGGACUGGGAGACGGCCGUUACGCAUACGGGAGGCAGGGGUGGAGAAUAGUGGAAGAAGGGGGCGACGGUGAUGAAGGAAUUCUGUGUGCAAGAUCACGGUUUUAGGAGAGUAAAAAGCUUUAAGAAAAGAAGAAAAGAAUGACGGUACCUGCAGAAGAAGCGACGGCUAAAUACGUG
RNAcentral lists this ribosomal RNA (475 nucleotides) under uncultured bacterium. RNAcentral describes it as "partial 16S ribosomal RNA". It matches the Rfam family "Bacterial small subunit ribosomal RNA", at positions 28 to 507 of the family's 1533-position model. The record is from RNAcentral.